AGUGUGUGUGUUAGUGGAAGCGUCUGGAAAGGCGCGCGAUACAGGGUGACAGCCCCGUACACAAAAAUGCACAUACUGUGAGCUCGAUGAGUAGGGCGGGACACGUGGUAUCCUGUCUGAAUAUGGGGGGACCAUCCUCCAAGGCUAAAUACUCCUGACUGACCGAUAGUGAACCAGUACCGUGAGGGAAAGGCGAAAAGAACCCCGGCGAGGGGAGUGAAAAAGAACCUGAAACCGUGUACGUACAAGCAGUGGGAGCCUCUUAAUGGGGUGACUGCGUACCUUUUGUAUAAUGGGUCAGCGACUUAUAUUCUGUAGCAAGGUUAACCGAAUAGGGGAGCCGAAGGGAAACCGAGUCUUAACUGGGCGUUAAGUUGCAGGGUAUAGACCCGAAACCCGGUGAUCUAGCCAUGGGCAGGUUGAAGGUUGGGUAACACUAACUGGAGGACCGAACCGACUAAUGUUGAAAAAUUAGCGGAUGACUUGUGGCUGGGGGUGAAAGGCCAAUCAAACCGGGAGAUAGCUGGUUCUCCCCGAAAGCUAUUUAGGUAGCGCCUCGUGAAUUCAUCUCCGGGGGUAGAGCACUGUUUCGGCAAGGGGGUCAUCCCGACUUACCAACCCGAUGCAAACUGCGAAUACCGGAGAAUGUUAUCACGGGAGACACACGGCGGGUGCUAACGUCCGUCGUGAAGAGGGAAACAACCCAGACCGCCAGCUAAGGUCCCAAAGUCAUG
RNAcentral lists this ribosomal RNA (734 nucleotides) under Escherichia coli. RNAcentral's name for it is "partial 23S ribosomal RNA". It matches the Rfam family "Bacterial large subunit ribosomal RNA", at positions 319 to 1057 of the family's 2925-position model. The record is from RNAcentral. Lineage: Bacteria; Pseudomonadati; Pseudomonadota; Gammaproteobacteria; Enterobacterales; Enterobacteriaceae.